AUGUCAUCAGAUUUCUUCGCAUAAAAAACAGCUCUCUCCUAAGACUUGGGGUCUUUAGUCUUGAUCUUGACCACAGUCACCCUGCUUCCAGUAAACCUAUUAUUUUCUUGGAGACUGUAUUGGUGUGAUAAUUUUUCACCACAAAAUGCGAAUUAAAACAACUCUGAGGUACCCACUACACAUCUGUUAGAUUAGCAAAUAUGAAGUAAAGGAAAAUAAUAUAAUGUACAGACUGGCAUAAUUGGGACACUAAUGUCUUGCUGGGGGAGUUGCAAACUGAUCCAACCAUUCUUCAGGGCAAUUUGGAAUUAUGCCCAGUAAGACCACUACUAGGUCUGAAAUCCAAAGAGACUUAAAAAAAUGGGAAAGGACAUGGUUGUACAAAAAUAGUUAAAGCUGCCCUUUUUGUGGUGGCAAAGAAAUGGAAACUAAAGGGACAUCCCUCAAUUUGGGAAUGGCUGAACAAAUUGUGGCAUAUGAUGGUGACAGAAUACUAUUGUGCUCUGACAAUAAACAGGAGGAUGAUCUCACAAAGAGUUGGAAAGUCCUACAUUAAUUGAUGCACUGAAAUGAACAGAACCAGGAAAACAUUAUAAACAGUAACAGCAAUAGUGUGGAAUGAUCAAAUUUGAUAGACUUAGCUGCUCUCAGUGAUACAAUGAUUCAGACAGCAUUUUAGAUAGGUAGCCACAAACACAGAAAAGAUGUAGGAUGACAGGGGAUGGAAGAAAUAAGUCAGGGGGGAAAUAUGUUUCUUUGCAGGCAGUAGGGAAGGAGUCAGCAGACAGAGACUGAGAAUAAGUCAGAGUGUGGGGACAGAUUCCAGUUCCAUUGCCAUGUGGACCAUUUCAACUAUUUCAGGUCCUUAGCUCUGUGGCUCUCAGGCUCAGGCCAAACACUCAGCCAAUAAAAGAUGAUUACAUCACAGAGCACUUAUGAUAUGUCACAUCACCAAGGUAACAGGAGGGAUGGUGAUAAACAAAGGGUGGAGCCUGGGGAGAUCAUUUCUGAAAAGAAAAAGAUGAGUGAUAAAGUAGAGAACAAGGAAUACAAGAUGAAAGCAUGUGAUAGAUCUAUUGUGAAUUGACUGUAUGUUCAUCAAAUGAGAGAACAAAUGGAGCACUUUCAAAAUCAGAAGAAGCAAAGCAAUAAAGAAGUACUGAAUUUUCUGGUGAUAAACUAA
Molecule: long non-coding RNA, 1183 nt
Filed under: Monodelphis domestica (gray short-tailed opossum)
Lineage: Eukaryota; Metazoa; Chordata; Mammalia; Didelphimorphia; Didelphidae
Description: lncRNA (ENSMODG00000045559.1)
Source: RNAcentral